Molecule: ribosomal RNA, 496 nt
Filed under: uncultured bacterium
Lineage: Bacteria
Description: partial 16S ribosomal RNA
Rfam family: Bacterial small subunit ribosomal RNA
Source: RNAcentral
AUGAACGCUGGCGGCGUGCCUAAUACCUGCAAGUCGAGCGAACGGACGAGAAGCUUGCUUCUCUGAUGUUAGCGGCGGACGGGUGAGUAACACGUGGAUAACCUACCUAUAAGACUGGGAUAACUUCGGGAAACCGGAGCUAAUACCGGAUAAUAUUAUGAACCGCAUGGUUCAAAAGUGAAAGACGGUCUUGCUGUCACUUAUAGAUGGAUCCGCGCUGCAUUAGCUAGUUGGUAAGGUAACGGCUUACCAAGGCAACGAUGCAUAGCCGACCUGAGAGGGUGAUCGGCCACACUGGAACUGAGACACGGUCCAGACUCCUACGGGAGGCAGCAGUAGGGAAUCUUCCGCAAUGGGCGAAAGCCUGACGGAGCAACGCCGCGUGAGUGAUGAAGGUCUUCGGAUCGUAAAACUCUGUUAUUAGGGAAGAACAUAUGUGUAAGUAACUGUGCACAUCUUGACGGUACCUAAUCAGAAAGCCACGGCUAACUACGUG